RNAcentral lists this ribosomal RNA (254 nucleotides) under uncultured bacterium. Its description in RNAcentral is "partial 16S ribosomal RNA". It matches the Rfam family "Bacterial small subunit ribosomal RNA", at positions 524 to 776 of the family's 1533-position model. RNAcentral also lists the same sequence under 2 other names. The record is from RNAcentral.
UACGUAGGGGGCGAGCGUUGUCCGAAUUUACUGGGCGUAAAGCGCGCGUAGGCGGUUUCUUAAGUCUGGGGUGAAAGGUUCAACGCUCAACGUGAACAGUGCCUUGGAUACUGGGAGACUUGAGUCUGGGAGGGGGUAGUGGAAUUCCUGGUGUAGCGGUGAAAUGCGUAGAUAUCAGGAGGAACACCGGUGGCGAAGGCGGCUACCUGGCCUAAGACUGACGCUGAGGUGCGAAAGCGUGGGGAGCGAACGGG